Non-coding RNA from Potamilus streckersoni, 74 nucleotides. NCBI's taxonomy places the organism in Eukaryota, Metazoa, Mollusca, Bivalvia, Unionida, Unionidae. The record is from the annotation of a GenBank genome assembly.
CACUCCGGUGGCCUAGUGGUUAGAGCAUCCACCUUGAAUGCGAGAGAUUGUGGGUUCGAUCCUCAGUCGAGUCA